UACGGAGGAUGCGAGCGUUAUCCGGAUUUAUUGGGUUUAAAGGGUGCGCAGGCGGCGUGUCAAGCAAGCGGUAAAAUAGCGGGGCUCAACCCCGUCGAGCCGUUUGAACUGGCGCGCUUGAGUUCAGGCGAGGUAGGCGGAAUUCGUGGUGUAGCGGUGAAAUGCAUAGAUAUCACGAAGAACUCCGAUUGCGAAGGCAGCGUACCGGCGCCCAACUGACGCUGAAGCACGAAGGCGUGGGUAUCGAACAGG
This 252-nucleotide ribosomal RNA is filed under the name uncultured Bacteroidales bacterium. RNAcentral's name for it is "partial 16S ribosomal RNA". It matches the Rfam family "Bacterial small subunit ribosomal RNA", at positions 524 to 776 of the family's 1533-position model. The record is from RNAcentral. Lineage: Bacteria; Pseudomonadati; Bacteroidota; Bacteroidia; Bacteroidales.